Molecule: non-coding RNA, 72 nt
Organism: Candidatus Kaiserbacteria bacterium
Lineage: Bacteria; Candidatus Kaiseribacteriota
Source: Rfam
GGCCUGGUGGUGAAGGGGUAACACGGGGAUCUGCAAAAUCUCUAUGCGCGGGUUCGAGUCCCGCCCAGGCCU